UAAUUUUUACAUUAAAAAUAGUUAUUACAAUCAAUGAUAUGAGCAUUAUAUGGAUACAAGUAUGAAGUUGAAGUGCAAAGGCGUACAAAAUCUUGAGCAAAAUGAAAUAUAUUACUUUUAAAUUCAUUACUCUAAAUGAUCCCUUAGGGCCUCAACCAAUAUCCACAUAACACUAGUUAAAACAUAUUUCAUUUUGAUCUAAUAAAACUAUUCAAAAUAAAAAAUCCACCUUGUAUUAACUCACCUUUCCAUGUUAAGACUCCACCUUACCUGUCCACAAAUAAAAACUAGGUGAUCAACUAAAUCCUCCGGUCUUUUUACUGACCCUUAUUCCAAUCACAGAGGAGGCUUUACCUCUUCUCUGUGUCUGGUCAGGUCAGGUCAGGUCAGGUCUGGUCAGGUCAGGUCUGGUCUGGUCUGGUCAGGUCUGGUCAGUUCAGGACAUUAUGCUGGUCAGGUCUGGUCAGGUCAGACCAGGUUGUAUGCUGUUCAGGUCAGGUCUGGUCUGGUCAGGUCAGGUCUGGUCAGGUCAGGUCUGGUCUGGUCUGGUCAGGUCAGGUCAGGUCUGGUCUGGUCAGGUCAGGUCUGGUCAGUUCAGGACAUUAUGCUGGUCAGGUCUGGUCAGGUCAGACCAGGUUGUAUGCUGUUCAGGUCAGGUCUGGUCUGGUCUGGUCAGGUCUGGUCAGGUCUGGUCAGGACAUUAUGCUGGUCAGGUCAGGUCUGGUCAGACC
This is a non-coding RNA of Oncorhynchus mykiss (rainbow trout), 731 nucleotides long. Lineage: Eukaryota; Metazoa; Chordata; Actinopteri; Salmoniformes; Salmonidae. The record is from RefSeq and is a predicted model, not a curated record.